GCCACGGUAUCUCAGUGGUAGAGCCUUUGUAUAUGGUGAGGGAAAGCACCUAGCAAUAACUGUCAGGAGAUCGUAGGUUCGAAUCAUGCCCGGUGGCU
Molecule: non-coding RNA, 98 nt
Organism: Meloidogyne enterolobii
Lineage: Eukaryota; Metazoa; Nematoda; Chromadorea; Rhabditida; Meloidogynidae
Source: the annotation of a GenBank genome assembly